Molecule: unclassified non-coding RNA, 1884 nt
Filed under: Hevea brasiliensis (rubber tree)
Lineage: Eukaryota; Viridiplantae; Streptophyta; Magnoliopsida; Malpighiales; Euphorbiaceae
Source: RNAcentral
CUUCUGGUUGGCACUCACAAAGUGCCGUAGGUAUAGUUCCAGCAACGCGUUCACCCGUUCCGUCUGCCCAUCAGUUUGCGGAUGGAAGGAGGUAGAGAAGUGCAAGUCUGACCCCAUGAGCUUGAACAACUCCCUCCAAAACUUCCCUGUGAAACGAGGGUCACGGUCACUGAUUAUGCUCCGAGGAAGGCCCCAAUACUUCACAACAUGCUUGAAAAACAAGCGGGCAGCUUCAUCAGCGGUACAAUCCCGUGGGGCAGCGAUGAAUGUUCCAUACUUCGAUAGCCUGUCCACUACCACCAUGAUAGAACCACAACCGUCUGACUUGGGAAGGGCAGAAAUGAAGUCCAUGGUUACACUGUCCCAUGGGCGUUCGGGUGUCGGUAGGGGCUCCAGCAAUCCAGCGGGCUGUCUUUGCUCUACCUUAUCUUGCUGGCAGACAAGGCAGGUGCGUACAUAGCCUUCCACAUCUUCUUCCAUCCUAGGCCAAUAGUAGGAUCUGCUGAUAAGAGCCAUUGUUCUUUGCAUGCCUGGAUGGCCAGCCCACAUGGAGUCAUGGCACUCCUUUAGCAAUUCUUUCCGCAAGUUUCCCCACCGAGGAAUGAAGAGGCGGUUGCCGAUGGUAUAGAUCAGCCCAUCUUGCUCCCAAAACCGCCGAGUCUUCCCUUCCUUAGCUAGCCCGAGCAAAUUUUUAGCAAAUAAGUCAUGGGCCAUACCUUCCUUCACACGCUCCAGUAGGUUGCUGGAGGCACUACUGAUGGAGUGAAAUUCGGCCUUGCGACUCAACGCAUCAGCUACCACGUUAGCUCUGCCCGGUUUGUACUCCAUCACGUAGUCAAAUUCGGCCAAGAAAUCCUGCCACCGAGCUUGCUUAGGAGAGAGCUUCUUCUGAUUUUGGAAGUAGCUCGUGGCCACAUUAUCAGUUUUGAUAAGAAAUCGGCUCCCAAGCAAAUAAUGCCUCCACACUCGUAGGCAAUGGAUGAUGGCAGUCAUCUCUUUAUCAUGCACUGGGUAUCUCCGCUCCGUAUCAUUUAGCUUCCGGCUUUCGAAAGCAAUGGGAUGCUUUUCCUGCAUCAACACCCCACCAAUGGCGAAUUCGGAAGCAUCGGUGUGGACUUCAAAGGGCUUAGAGAAAUCAGGCAACACCAGCACUGGUUCCUCCAUCACAGCUUGCUUAAGAUCCUCAAAUGCAUGCUGGCACACAGUGUCCCACACCCAAGGGACAUUUUUCUUAAGCAAGUUUGUCAAAGGAGUAGCCCUCUUGGAGUACCCUUGGAUAAACCGUCGGUAGUAAUUGACCAAGCCAAGGAAAGAACGCAAACCCGAGACAUUGGAAGGAGGCUCCCAAUCGUAGAUAGCACGUACCUUGGCUGUGUCCAUGCUGAUGGUUCCCCCAGCAAUACGGUGGCCCAAGAACAUCACCUCCGAUUGUGCGAAUGAGCAUUUCUCCUUUUUCACAAACAGCUCAUUCUCACGUAGGACUUGGAACACCUUCCUCAAAUGCUGGAUGUGGUCCUCCAAAUUUUCACUAUAGACCACAAUGUCAUCUAAGUAUACCACCACAAACUUAUCCAAGAAUGGGUGGAAGAUUUUGUUCAUGAGGGUGCAAAAUGUUGCUGGCGCAUUUGUCAACCCGAAGGGCAUGACCAGAAAUUCGUAGGAGCCAUAACGGGUCACGCAAGUAGUCUUAGAUUCAUCCCCUUCAGCAAUUCGAACUUGCCAAUAGCCCGAUCUCAAGUCUAGCUUAGAAAACCAUCGAGCUUUGCCCAACCGAUCGAAUAGCUCAUCCACCAAAGGUAUCGGGUAUUUGUUUUUCACCGUUACCUUAUUCAACGCCCGAUAGUCGAUGCACAUGCGAAGGCUGCCAUCGUGUUUCUUCUGGAA